Small nucleolar RNA from Magnolia sinica, 85 nucleotides. RefSeq annotates it as small nucleolar RNA R16. The record is from RefSeq and is a predicted model, not a curated record. The transcript has a single exon. Lineage: Eukaryota; Viridiplantae; Streptophyta; Magnoliopsida; Magnoliales; Magnoliaceae.
AGGGGCAGACGAUGUAGAUAAUCUUAUCCUACACACUGAAAUACCAUGUGUGGACUUUAAACUCCGCUUAUUAUCUGAUGCCAUU